This 42849-nucleotide long non-coding RNA is filed under the name Prunus persica (peach). RNAcentral describes it as "long non-coding RNA (PPER_LNC002428)". The record is from RNAcentral. Lineage: Eukaryota; Viridiplantae; Streptophyta; Magnoliopsida; Rosales; Rosaceae.
UUCCUCCACGACCCCAUCAAUCUCUUCAUCCUCUUUCUUGUUCAUGUUGUCUCUUAUUUUCAAUGCCUUUUUUCUCACUCCCUCUCCAAUUUUCUCCACAAAAACAUCUCUAAUCACCUUUGCGACCUCUUCUCUUUGCAAACUUCCUUCACCUGUUCUCUUAACCUCAACACCAACACCCACCUCCUCCACUAGUCUAGCGUUGAUCGGCUGGUCAAGAUGCAUAGGCAUGGCUAUAAUUGGAACACCAAACUUGAUGCUCUCCAACACUGAGUUCCAUCCGCAGUGACUCACAAACCCCCCAACACUAGAAUGCUGCAGUAUCUUUGCCUGUGGGGCCCAACCCUCCAUUAUCACUCCCUUCUCUCCCACCCUCUGUAAAAACCCUUCUGGUAACACCUCUUCAACCCUAGUAUUUUUCUCCUCCUUAGAAAAUCUUAUAACCCAAAUGAAGCUCACUUUGCUAAGCUCUAAUCCGUGAGCUAUCUCUUCUAUUUGCUCCUUGGACAGAAAGUACUCACUGCCAAAGCAUACAUACACUACAGAAGACCUUUCCAUUUUGUUCAGCCAUUUCAUGAUCCAUGUUUCCUCAUCAACUUUUUGAUCCACUGGCUCUUGAACAAGCGUGCCAACAGGCACGAUCUUUUUCCCCAUUAAAUCAGAGAGAUAAUCAAUAUAUUUUUCUUCAAUCCCCCUGGAUGUCUUUACCAAAAUGAUGUUACAAGAUCGAGCACUGCAUUGCUGAACACGGUCUCCAUCUUUGAUGCCAUUUGCUGAAGAUUCCAACACGUUGUUGAACUUUUCAGCUUCGUAAUCUUGAAGAUAAAUCGAAGGAAAAGGAAACUUGACACUAGGGUUCUUGAGAUGUUGAAUACUAAAUGAAGUAAAGGCAGCACCCAUGGUGAUGAAUUCGAUGGAUGGAAAAUUUUGCAAUGAAGCUAGAGAGGGCGCCCAUGGUUGAAGAAAAUCAUAUAUGAGCAAAUCUGGGCUUAGGGUUUUGAGGAUGUUGGAGAAGUUGUUGCUGGACAUAUCAAAGGCCCUUUUGAGAGUGGACAUGAGAUGGGGAGGGAGGCCAUUGGUGGUAUGGUAGUGAGGUGGGAGUUCAGGCAAGUCAUCAUGUGGAAGAUGGAGUUCCACAAAUUCAAUGCAAUGAGAAUAUUUUUGGGAGAGUUUAGGCUUGAUGGAGCUGAGAUUUACAGGCGUGGAACAAAUAAAGAUGUGAAAAUUUCUCUUGGUGGUCAGCUUCUUGGCUAGCUCUAGGUAGGGAGAUAUAUGGCCGUGAGCUAGCCAUGGAAGCAUAAGAAUAGUAAGUUUUCUUUGGUCAGAGUAAACCAUAUUUUGUUUUCCUUUCACUCUUUUGCUUGAGGUUGCUCGAUUAUAGGCUUAUUGGUAGUUUUUUUGUAGCUAGCUCUAUGCAUAUAUAUAUAUAUAUACACACACAUUCAUGGGAAAAGAGGCUUGGGGAUGGGAAAUCAAUUGAUUUCCUAUGUUUGGUAAAGUUCGGGUAUGAGAAAUCGUUGCUUUGCACAUGAGAAAGUAGAGGGGAAAGUGAAGCCCUCCUCCUUCCUUAGGUUUUGUUUUCCUCCUCAUGGGAAAGUUUGGGAAAAUGAGCUAAUAUUAAAUACAUAUUUUUCAUGACCAUAUUAUCCCCAUUAAUAAUUUAGAAUUACAUAAAUGCAUUCUAUUUUUAUUUGAUUUCAUAUGGGUAUAAUUGAAAAAUUAAACAAAUUUUGUUUUACAUUCCUACACAAACCAAACAUGUGAAAGGAAAUAAAGUGGUAUUUCUUGGUUACUUUCCCAAGAUUACCAAACAUAGGAAAGGAAUCUCUAUUUCCCAUCCCUUAGAAAAUGACUUGGAAAGUAAUUUCUCCUCAAAUUCGUUCCGUGAACCAAACGGAACCUGCAUAAUAGAAGUUCCAAAAAAACACGUGAUGAUUGGAUCAUGCAUAUGUAAGUUCCCGAGUGAUGAUUGGAACAAGUUCCUAAUGAUAAAGACUCGAAACAAGAAUAGUUUAAACUUUCUUCUUUGUUUGGCUUGAUAUAAGACGAAUGCACCAAACAAACCGACUAAUUGCUGGCACAAUAUAAAUUGGGGCUACAAUUACCUAAUAAUUAGGUACUAAGGGCUACAAUUACCUAAUAAUAUCAACUUUCAUUAUACAGAUUUGAGAAACAAAAAGUUCAACUUUGAUGACAAGCGAUAUUAAAGGAGGGCGUAAUCAAACUUAGGAUCUUGAGUGUAGAAAUAAAUACUUUUAACAACUUGAGCUACAAGCCUUUUGUAAUAUUAAUGAUAUUUUAAUUAUACGUUUGAAUAGUUCGCUUCCUUCUCUUUUAUUUUCAUUUGUUUAUAUUUAACUCUAAUUUUAUUUAUAUUUUUGGUCAAGGUAAAAAGACUUUGAAUCUCUCUCCAAUGAUUUUCACAGCCGAAACUCCUUUAGUUUCCACAAAUAUUUUUUAAUAUUUCAUGCAUUUGUAAGUUUCCGACUCGGAUGGUUCAUGUAACCAAGAAGUUUAAACUUGUUUUUGCUUGUUCCGCCGACGAAAGCGCAACAAAAGGACAAACUACAACCAAUACUUCUAGUAUCACCAGUUCUCAUUGAAUUUGUUGCCGUGAAUGUUUAGGAUUCUGCCCAAACUAGUAUUUGCGUUUCUGAAUUGUUUGAAAACACAUAUGAAAUUAUGAUUUCUCCUCCCCAGAAGACAAAUUGACGAAGAAGUAUCAUGAUUUUGAUGACACAAAUUAGAAUCCAGGGUUUUCGAAGUGCCUAAUGGACAACUAUUAAUUUAGAAAUAUAUAUAUUUUUUUCGCAAUGCAGAAACACAUAAAUCCCAAGUUUGAAUUCAUCCUAUUUUUGUUUUUGUUUUUUCCUUUUUUAACCCAGAAGAAAAAUUGAGUGCCACUCUGCUAUGUAGAAUGCAAGUUUUAGUUUAGAUUUUUUUUUCUUUUUAGUCUCUUAUUCUACAUUUAGAUCUCAUAUAUUUACUCGCAUUUUAUUAAAUCUAAGUCAUUCAAACAAUCUGACCACUUAACAAAUUACAAGUACUCAAACUUAAAAUCAGAUUGGAUGGACAUGAGGCUUACACUGAUGAUUCUACACGUGCUGAGAAUAGUCCUUUUAUUUCUUUAUUAUUUUCUUGGUCGGGACUCGAGAGACAGGUGUAGUGUAGCGAUGGAGACGAGGCCCGCAAGACAUAAAAGUCUGAAGAAGAGAAGCGUGAAAGCUUCAUUUAGACAGUUAAGUGCAUACGUAACGUAAAGAUUCAAAGACUAUGUCCCUCUCCAAACAGGGAAAGAUCUGAGUUGAAAGCAACAAACUACAGUCACAAUAGGAAAGCAUCUACAACGUAAAGAAAAUAAGUUUACCAGAAGCAUCGGAAAGAUCUAGAGUCUGAAGAAGAGAUACUGAAGUAAUUGUUCAUCGACUGAGCUUAAAUGAAAUAUUAACUCUUUGUUGUGCCAUAAGCACAAGAUCUUAAGAAAAAAAUUCAAGAUAAACCAUAUAAUAUUUUCUAACCCACAAAAUAAUAUAGAAAAUAAAUGCAAGAACAAGAGAAUAGCAAGACACAACGAGGCUGCUUACAAUCAGUGUAAAUGAGCAAACAAAUUCACCAUCAACAAAUUAGCAUGCUUAUGAAGUGUUUUGCAACCUCACAAACCAAGGCGCCAUAUACACCAAAUGACUCUCACUGAAAAACUAAACAAAGAAACACACUCACACUAAUGAAAGCAACGUUACAAGGUAGGAGAUUGAAUAUUACAUUUACAAUACACUCAUAAGUUACAAAAACUAAUUACAAAUAUUUAGCGCAUAGGUUACAUAGAACUGAAAGGGUGGAAUGAUAAGAGCUAUGGUGGUCAUCCACCAACUCAUGCAUUUACAACACCGCCUCUUGAAUGUCCACCAUACAAUACAAUGAUAUAGUUGCGUCAUUAAACACUUUGCUUGAAAAACUAUAUGGGACAAAACUUAGGCUACGGGAAAAAGAGUGCAACACAAAUAAUAUUGAUAUCACAUUUGUCUCUCCUACGGAAUGAGCUUUGGUGAUGUUUGUAUAAAAAUUGCGUACAAACCAUUAUUGGAAGAUUGGGCUAGAGUGGGCUUUACCCUAGUGUUGACUUUGGAAAGAGACAAAUUAGGCUUAGUUGUGUAAAUUCAAUCCAAAAAAAAAUUAAAUAAUAGCCCACAUCUACAGCCAAAUACUUUAAUACUUUAAUUACUAAAGUUUUUUUUUCUUUCUCUCUCUUCUUUGGUUUAUUCAGCUUUUGAUUUGGCUCAAAUAAUGUUUAUAUCUCUCUUUGAUUUUGUUUUUUCAAAUUUAUUGAUGUUGCUUCUUUUGAAAAUUUUGAAAUAUGGACCCUCCCUAACUAAACCACUCCAUUGAGCAAAAGCCCUUGAGCUUCAAAUUUAUCUUCGUCUGAGCCUCUGAAUUUUGGUUUUUUUUAGGUUUUUUUUGUUUGUUGUAGGUUUCUUUGUUCACAUAUCUCUCUAAAAAUAGUAUUUUUCUUAAUGAAUUCUGAAAAUAGUUUUUAAUUUGAAGGAAAUAUACGGAAUUAGUAAAAAAGUAUACCACUUUCAUUAAUCUGAAGGAAAUAUUGCUUUAUAUAUAUUUGUUUAAAAAUAGGGCUUAUAAUUGAUCUCAAAAAAAAAAAAAAAACAAAUAGCCCACCCCUGUAAAUAUUCCUUAGUCCGCCAUUGCAUGGCAUAAUAUUUGGUAUGCUAUGCUAGCAUCUCAUAAGCUCUUCAAGAGACCUGAAUUUUAUGAUAACUUCUUAAAAAAUUUGAAUACAUUUCAACGAUAUUAAACUUGAAUUUGAACUCAUAAUUCAAUCAAAGUACUCAUUGAGGCAAUUUAGAUCAUUUUCAUUUUAAAAAAAUUGGGUGCACACAUUGAGCUUCAUGCUCUUUACCUUCUUAGAGAUUUUAUUUGAGGAAUUUAUAUUGCAUCACAUAUUACAUCUCUUAGGAUUUGUUCUUAUUAUGUAUUCUUUAAGAGAUCUAUUCUUGCAAUAUGCUUCAAACACUUCAUAAUCUUUAUGAAUUUUUCAUGUAGAUUUAAGGUCUCCAUGAAUAUUGAGAUUGAAACAAGGAGUAAAAGAGUUAAAAGUUUAAGAAAUUUUUUCCCUGAUUAUUUUGUAAUUAUAAUGUUGGUGAAAAUCCAAUUUCCUUUCUAGAAUUUGUGAAAUUUGUUAUUUGGCUAAGCUAAAAGUAUAAUUUUGACAAUAAAAAGCAUAUGAAAGUUUCUCUUUGGUUGGCUUCUUGGCUAGCUCUAGGAACGGACAGUGUGGCCAUGAGAUAACCAUGGAAGUAUAAUAAGAAUGCUUGGAUGCUGUGAACAAUCCAUUUUCUGACUCUUUUUCUUGAGGUGGUUGUUUUCUUAUGGCCCAUCAGAGUUUAUGGUCGACAGAUAAGCUUCAAACACAUGCAUUGGUCGUGUCAGUUGCGAUAAACUCUUCCCAACAAUCAACAAUUUCUAAGGUAAUAUCAUCAUUCAAUCAUGUGCUGAAUUUAGAAUUGUUUUCAAAUCAAGGAUUUGUUUUGGAACUCAGAUUUUAAAACAAUUAAAAUUUAAUUGGGAAGACUUUUUGUUUAAAGGAAGUUCGUUUCAAUUCAAAAAAUAAUUUUUCAGUUUUUCAACUCAAAAGUCUUCUCAGUUUUCUUAUUUUUCUUAUUGGCGAGUUUCUUGGUUAACUCUAGGAAGGGAGAUAUGUGGCCAUGAGCUAACCAUGGAAGCAUAAGAACGCUGACCAUGCUUGGAUUUUGAGAAGACUUCCUCUUUUUUUUUUCCCUGACUCUUCUUCUUGAGGCGGUGGUUGGCUUAUGGCCUCAUAAUAGUUUGGUGUUUUUGGAGAUCAUAUGGUGAUGAUCUGAUGGAGAUGAGUCAUAGUUUGUGCUAGUGCAUACGUAAUUCCAAUUUCCUGAUUCAGAUGGGAUAAACUCUUCCAACAAAUUAAGACUCUUAUCAUGCAUACACAUAAGAAGUGGAAAUUUGCUUCUGUCUUAGUUUGGCCUUGAUAUAGGACAGCUCAUAGGAAAGCAUCCAAAACAAUAUUCUUUUUAUUUUUUUUAUUUGAAUACAAGCGAUAUUAGGAGUGUGGGGAUUUGAACACAUGAUUUAGGGUACAGGGUAAUGCUCUUAACUAUAUGAGUUACAAGUCCCUUGCAAACAGUCUGAAAUACUAAAAAUAAAAAAUAGAUGCUCAUCCAUAUGCACUGUCAUGCCCCAACCCUUGGAUUUACAAAACCUUGUGUUAAGACGUGAUUCACACCUUAAUUAUAGAAUUUAAUAAAAACUAUAACUAAAAUGUGAAGAAAACAUUUAAAUAAAUAAAAUAAAUAUUUCACAUAGAAUAUUCAGUGGAAAUGACAACAUGUGAAAUCUUAAAAAUUUUACAUUAUCUUACAAGUUGGCGUGACUUGUGGAUAUUGACUUACUUUCCUUACACACCAAGAAUUCCUAUUAUAAUUGUAAUUGAUUUACUUUAAUUCAUGAUUUCCUACUGUAAAUAGAUUUAAGAAUUUAUUAUUUACUUGCCCAUUCAGGUUUCGUUGUAUUAUAAAUAUGACCUCCUACAAGGAGAAGAACAUACAGAAAAUUCCCACAAACAAAUAUUCUCUCAUAGUUUUCAUAUUUUAGCAUGGUAUCAGAGCGGCAAUCUUGGAAUUGCUGACUCUAGUUUCAAACCCCCGCCGCCGCUAUGGGGGUUGAUGAUUUUUUCAACCAUCAUGGAGGUAGCACCAUCGACUCCUUCUCUCAUUCUCAACUAACCAUCGUUGAGUUGAGUGCCCAGAUGGCUCCGCUCCUACAGAUGCAGACUUUGACCCCAAACCCGAUCCAGAAUCAGGAUCUUCUUUCGACAACCACGACCCCGAUCUCGACUAUGACAACGACGACCCCGACCCCUACUCUGAAGAUGACCCCGACCCCCACUCCGAUGACCCCAACCCCGAAUUUGUCUCUGAUUCAGAACCCGAUCCCGAUUUCGACUCCGACUCCGGCCUCGACUCAGGCUCAGAUUUCGAUCCAAAUUCCUACUCAACUUAUAUCCUAUGCAUCUUCCGCUGCACAGAUUAUGACUUCUAGACUAACGACCCCGACAUAUGGACCAGAUUGCACAUAUUGUGGUGAUCCGAGACACACUUGUGAGACUUGUUUUAAAUCGCAUGGCUACCCCGAUUGGUGGGCUAUUCUUACAGAUCAAGGACAAUGCACCAGUAAUGGUACUGGUUAUGGAUUCCAUACUUCCGAUAAGAUUGAUUCCAGGAGCUGGAUAAUUGAUUCUGGUGCAACUGAUCAUAUGACGUUUGAUCCUGAUGAUUUUCUGAAUACUACACAACCUCGACGAACUUGUAUUGCAAAUGCCAAUGGUGUUACUUAUCCUGUGACAGGGGCUGGCACUGUUGCACUCUCAUCCUCUCUCACACUGUCUAAUACUUUACUUGUUCCAUUUUUAUCCACUAAAUUGUUGUUAGUUAGUCAGCUUACUAAACAAUUGAAGUGUUGUGUACUCAUUUACCUGAGUUUUUGUUUGCUUCAGGAUAUUCACACUAAGGAGAUUCUUGGUCGUGGUACUAAGAGAGGGGGGCUAUAUUAUGUCGAUGACUUCAGUUCCGGCGUGCCUAACAGUGUGACACAUCCCUUUGAUAGCAAACAAAAGCAAAUUUGGUUGUGGCACCUUCGAUUGGGACAUCCGUCUUUCAGUUAUAUGAAGCAUCUUAUACCAGAUUUAUUCUUAGGUUUCAAGGACUCCGACUUCACAUGUGAUACUUGUAUUUUGGCUAACAGUCACCGUGUGCCCUACCUGUUGAGUACGAACAAGUGUACUUGUAAGAUCCCACAUCAACCAACGGAGAGGGGGUGAUGUGCCUUAUAUAUGCACACCUGCAUCCAUCUAGCACGAGGCCUUUUGGGAGCUCACUGGCUUCGGAGUCGUAGGAACUCCGAAGUUAAGCGAGUUGGGGGCUAGAGCAAUCCCAGGAUGGGUGAUCCACUGGGAAGUUGCUCGUGAGCUCCUAGAAACAAAACCGUGAGGGCAGAGAGAGGGGCCCAAAGCGGACAAUAUCGUGCUACGGCGGAGUUGAUCCCGAGAUGUGACAAUUUGGUAUCAGAGCCACUCUGCCGUGUGGUGCGAAUGUGCCGACGAGGACUUCGGGCCCUUAAGGGGGGUGGAUUGUAAGAUCCCACAUCAACCAACGGAGAGGGGGUGAUGUGCCUUAUAUAUGCACACCUGCAUCCAUCUAGCAUGAGACCUUUUGGGAGCUCACUGGCUUCGGAGUUGUAGGAACUCCGACGUUAAGCGAGUUGGGGGCUAGAGCAAUCCCAGGAUGGGUGACCCACUGGGAAGUUGCUCGUGAGUUCCCAGAAACAAAACCGUGAGGGCCAGAGAGGGGGGCCCAAAGCUGAUAAUAUCGUGCUACGGCGGAGCCGAUCCCGGGAUGUGACAAUUGUACUACUCCAUUUACGUUAAUUCACUCUGAUGUCUUGGGACCUUCGCCUAUCACUGCUCCUUCUGGUGUUCGAUGGUUUGUCACAUUCAUCGAUGAUUGUAUACAGAUGACAUGGCUUUAUUUGCUGAAGAAUAAAAACGAAGUGUUUUCCCGUUUUCAGUCCUUCCACAAACAGAUGAAAACUCAGUUUAAUGCUCAAAUCCAGAUUCUUCGCUCAGACAAUGGUGGAGAAUUUGUCAAUCAUGACUUUCAGACUUACUUCCAACAACAUGGAAUUAUCCAUGAGACGACUUGUCCUCAGACACCACAACAAAAUUGUGUUGUUGAACGAAAGAAUUGACAUCUUCUUGAAACCGCCCAAGCACUUCUGAUUGGCGCUCAUGUUCCUCGCUAUCACUGGGAUGAUGCUAUUGUCACCGCAGUUCACCUGAUCAACCGCAUGCCUUCUGGUGUAUUGACCUUUAAAACUCCCUUACAGGUGCUUGCGCAACACAGACCUCUGCUCUCUGUUUUGGUACUCACACCCCGAAUCUUUGGAUGUGUGGCUUUCGUUCAUCUCCACAAAAAUCAACGUAGCAAACUUGAUCCCUGUGCGCUUCGUUGUGUUUUUAUAGGUUAUGCCACUCAUCAGAAAGGCUACCGUUGUUAUCACCCUCCUACCCAACGAACCUAUGUCACUUUGGAUGUGACCUUUCUGGAAUCUGAGUUGUUCUUCCAUGACCCAUCAUCCAAUUCUACGCAUCAGGGGGGGAUACGAAGUGAAGAGCAGAAUUGAAGCAACUUGGGAAAUAAAGAAAUUUUCCUCUGUACAGAAAUGAUUAAUCAUCCUGAGUCUGGAGCACGAGAUUACUCUCUGUCGAAAAGCAACCAAUCGCCCAUUCAUAGCGAUCAAUUGCCUCACCUACCUGAUCCAUGUGAAGAUAUUUUUGAUCCGAGUCUCACACCUACAGACAAUACAGAACAACAAGAUGAAGACUCCCCCUCUAACUCAACAGUACCAACAGACCAAUCUCCUGAGAAUAUCCUUGAGGUAACUACUCCUACUAGAUUUGUGCAUUUAAAUGAUUAAACUAUUGGAUAUCAAUUACCUUUCAGGGAAAAUCGUGGGAAGCCAUCAAACCGUUAUGCACCUGAUAUUGGCAAGACAUCCAAGUAUCCAAUUGCAAAUCAUGUAUCCACUGAGAAGCUGUCUGAACAACUCAAGGCUUUUGUGCAUCAGUUGUCUGCGAUCCAUAUUCCAACCAAGGUCUCUGAAGCAUUAAAAUAUCCUAAGUGGGUCCAAGCUAUAAAAGAGGAGAUGAAAGCUCUUGAGAAAAAUCAGACUUGGACAUUAGAGACUAUACCUCGAGGAAAAAAGACUAUCAGAUGUAGAUGGGUGUUUACUAUAAAACACAAUGUAGAUGGAUCUAUCGAGCAAUACAAGGCAAGACUUGUGGAAAAAGGGUACACACAGACAUAUGGUAUAGACUAUGAAGAAACCUUUGCUCCAGUUGCAAAGUCAAACACCAUCAGAGUCUUAUUGUCCCUUGCAGCUAAUUUGGAUUGGCCACUACACCAGUUUGAUGUAAAGAAUGCUUUUCUACAUGGCGUACUCACGGAGGAGGUGUACAUUUACAUUCCUCCUGGAUAUAAUACUACUUAGACUGGAACAGUUUGCAGGUUACGAAAAGCAUUGUAUGGAUUGAAACAGUCACCACGUGCAUGGUUUGGACAGUUCACCAUGGCAAUGAAGAACAAUGGUUCAAACAGUGCAACUCAGAUCAUACUCUACUCUUGAAACAUCGAAAAGGGAAGGUAACAACAUUAAUAAUCUAUGUUGAUGAUAUGAUUAUUACUGGGAAUGAUAAACAGGAAAUAUCACAGCUACAAGACUAUCUGGCUACGGAGUUUGAGAUGAUGGAUCUAGGUGGACUCAAGUAUUUCUUGGGAAUUGAGGUGGCUCGAUCCCAGCAAGGCAUAUUUCUCUCUCAAAGGAAAUAUGUCUUGGACUUGUUGACAGACACAUGAAUGCUAGAUUGUAAACCUGCGAACACUCAUAUUGUUCAGAAUCAUCAUCUUGGAGAAUAUCAUGAUCAAGUUCCAACUAACAAAGAAAGAUACCAAAGGUUAGUAGGAAGAUUGAUCUAUUUGUCACAUACUUGACCAAACAUUACUUAUGCAAUGAGCGUUGUCAGUCAAUUUAUGCACUCUCCAAGUGAAGACCACACGAAUGCAGUUCUUCGGAUACUUAGAUAUUUGAAGUCUGCACCUGAAAAAGGACUUAUUUUCUGAAAGCAUGGUCAUAUAAAUAUUGAUGGUUAUUCAGAUGUAAUGUAACAGAUAGAAAAUCCACAUCCGGUUACUUAACAUUCAUGGGAGGUAAUUUGGUGACAUGGAGGAGCAAGAAACAGAAUGUAGUAGCUUUAUCCAGUGCAGAAGCCGAGUUCAGAGGCAUGACUAAAGGAAUUUGUGAACUUCUUUGGUUAAGAAAGUUGCUUACUGAACUUGGGUAUAAACCUACAUCCACAAUGAUUCUCUUUUGUGACAACAAGGCUGUUAUAGCCAUUGCACAGAAUCCGGUUCAGCAUGAUCGUACUAAACAUGUUGAGGAGGAUCGACACUUCAUCAAACAGAAGCUUGAGGCUAAAAUGUUUCAGUUUUCUUUUGUGAAAUCCGAGGAUCAAUUGGCGGAUAUUUUGACAAAGGUGAUUUCCAGUAAAACAUUCCACAAUUCACUGGAUCAGUUAGGCAUUGGCGAUAUCUAUGCACCAACGUGAGGGGAAGUGUUGGCGUGACUUGUGGAUAUUGACUUACUUUCCUUACACACCAAGAAUUCCUAUUAUAAUUGUAAUUGAUUUACUUUAAUUCCUGAUUUCCUAUUGUAAAUAGAUUUAGGAAUUUAUUAUUUACUUGCCCAUUCAGGUUUCGUUGUAUUAUAAAUAUGACCUCCUACAAGGAGAAUAACAUACAGAAAAUUCCCACAAACAAAUAUUCUCUUAUAGUUUUCAUAUUUUAGCAAGAACUACUCGAGAGUUUACUAAAAGAGUAGUUCAGUAUUCAUCCACAAGCUAUAUACACAAUACACUCUAUAGAUAUGCCAAAAUCAUCGCAAGCUCUAGAUUUUAGGUUCGAUACCUGCAAAAUCUAUUAGAAGGGUGAGUGAAACCACAGUUUAGUAGGGACAUAAACCUUUUCACGGUAAACUGAUAUAAUUAAAUUAAGUGAAAAAUAAUCACACAGCCAAAUAUCACAUUAUUAAUAACAAUGCAUGAAUGCUCUUCAUUUAACCCGUUAAUUCAUAUAAUUAGACAAGCUUCACGACCCAUACCAUGCUUAUACCACUUAGUCCCGAAUGCCAAUUUAUAUGAAUUAACGCCCAUUUCAAUCAUCCCAUAAUUCCCAUUUUGUUAGUCAUCUUGUCUAACUCCCUGUUGCCAGUCCUGAAUCACCAAAAAAAAAAAACCAUGUGCACUAUGGGAUCCCUGAGUACUAGUACCUGGCAAGAGUUAGACUCAACUACACAAAAGAUCAUUUCUAUUACCCUCUUAUCCACCAUUAUUUUCUCAACUUCAGAAUUCUAGCCAAAUUCCAUGACAUGAUAUAAUUAAAAUUAUGCCUUCACAACAAUGUGCCCAUUUAAAACAUCACUAAUGCACAUAUAAUUAUGCCCACAUUGUUCAAAUAGUUAAGAGUACGUAAAUACCCAAUACAUGGAACGUCAAUCAAACAGUACCACGCAUAAUAUAAUGCUCAAGAAAUUUAAUUAAAUCAAUCUCUGUAAAAGGCCCCUAAGAAACCCCUGCCUUGAUACUAAAGCUUUUGCUAGACCUAUAAGGUGUUUUCCAAUUUUCCACCGCAUUCACAAACUCUGUCUUCUACUUUUUUUCUUACUUCUCUCUACCACUAUUUCUUUCUCGUUUUCUUUGUUUUCACUUGUUGUGCAACUUAAUGUCCUAUAUAUAUACAAGGAACAAGUCGGCAGUAAGUGAUUUCCUAUUGGAUGGUGUAUUCGGUUGUUAUAAACUUACUAGUAAUAGUUAUCAAUGUAGUUGCAGAUGAGGAAGAAUGUUUUUGUGACUCUUCCAAUCCCUCUAAUCCUAUUUCUUAUCUUCUUGGUGAGUUGAUAGCCUCGAUACUUAACAGAUUUUAUACUUUGACACGUAUUAACAAGAACUAUUUUAAAAACAUAUACAUAUAUAUAUAUAUAAUAGAAUAUGUAUAUAUGUAAUACACAUAUUUAUAUAUAAUAAGAAUAAUAUAUAUGUAAUAAGAUAUAAAUAUUUAUUAGAACAGUAUAUAAAAUAAUAUAUAUCAUUCUUAUUAUAACAAUAAUUUUAAUUUUCCCAAAAUAAUAUAUAUUUAAAAAUAUGUGGUUUCACAUGCAUGUCCUUUUUGCUAUAGACACUAUUACAAAAAUCGAAAUAGACAACGGAAAACUACCGUCGUCUGGAAAGUUUUCAAACAGUCGUGAAAUCGACUGUCGUCUCUUUUACAUAAAACAACGACGGCUAUUAACCAACGUCGUUAAUACAUUCCACGUAAAAAACUAUUAUAAACCGACGUGUAAUUACUAUAUAUAUAGCCUAAAAUAAAAUCUUCAACAACCUUAGACGACGGUUUUAUUAAAACUGACACGUCUAAAGAGUGUUACAUGUCAAGAUCAAAACAAGAACCGACGUACAGAUAAUUAUCCACGUCCUAAUUGAAGUAAAAUAGACUUGGAUAACCUAGAAACCGUCGUGGUUAACAUAUACUACGUUAAAUUAACAAAGGCACUUACGUCUAAAAAGUAAAAGACAACACGCGCACAAAGCAACAGACGUUUAAAGCUUAGUACAUGUCAAUAGCCGCUCAAUAACCGCAGUAAAAUGAAUUAACCACGUCCCACAUAUGGCAGAACUGUUGCUUAUGUGAUUAUCCACGUCGCGGAGUAGUAGAACAAAGACGUUGUAACCAUAUUCCACGUCUGUUUCUUGUGAGAAUUGUCGUUUAAAUUAUACAAAGAAGCCCCUUUGACAGAGUUAGACGUUGCUCUUGCUGUAGAACCGACUUCUAACAGGUUUAAAAUGACACAAUAUUACUUAAUACUGCCGUAACAAAUCAUAUCCACGACUGCUGUUGUCAAAGACUGACGUUACAAAAAAUAUUGAAGGUGUUGACAAAAAAGAACCGACAUGGAUUAUGCAUUCAACGUCGUGUGGUCUAAAAAUAAAGGACGUGGUUAAUUUUUUCUCUACGUCAAGUGGAUCCAAUUGCCUGAUGUUGUAAUUCUUUACCAUGUUGGUUUUUAAUACAUGAUGAUGUGGUUGUCCUUUUAAAAGUCGCUUGUUUUACCCUCCUUGACGUGUGUAUGAUAUGAGACGUCAAUUGUUUUAGACUAGCUGACGUGCAGAAAAUCUGUCACGACAAUUAAUGCAACUGAAUUGCCUCUAUUUCCCCCAGACGACGGUAGGUUUUAAGUGUGGAAGUAGUGUUUUACAAAAUCGUAAGUUGGAGUAAUCUACCAUCGUGUUAUUCGAGAAUAUACCACGAUCUUUGUUUUGUACUCGGUCGCUGAUGUUUAUACUACUUAAUAAACUGACAUGUUUUCAGUUUCAGACGGCGGCUUUUGUUUCUUUAUGGUCUUUUGCAUUUUUUUUCCAUGACAUUUUUGAAAGCCUAAUGUUGGUUUUAUUUUAGAAAUCGAUUUUUCCCCUUUUUUUACUGGACCGUCGUACUUUACACAUUUAAUCAAUUUUUUUCAAUUUUUGAUUCAUCGUGCCCAAAGCCUACAUAACGAAAAUGUGAUCAGAAUUAAAAUGAUGUACAAAGGUAUUAAUUAAUGUCAUACAAUUAACUGAAUAACUAAUGUCAUACACUACAACAAUCAAUCAAUCCAUAUAUCUUCACACCCAUCUUUAAUAUUUUCACUCCCAAACUCACCCACUAGGUCAUCAUAUGUGUCAACAUUUGGUAUCCCUCUAGUAAAUGUCUCACACUCAAUUCUAAUAUCACCUAGCACAUCAUCACCAAUAACAUUAUUAUAUUCUCUAUUAUGCAUUGAUAACACUACCGACCAACCACGAUGCAUUGGGUCGUCAGCAUAAAAUACUUGUUUUGGUCAUUCCUAUGUCCAAUUUUACUCAAAUCUACAAAGGUGAAUCCAAGUUCAUCGACAACAAGGCCCAAAGUGUUAUCUAUCCAAUCACACCUCAAGACAAGGAUUCUAAACUUUUGGUAGUCAAGGUCCCAAAUUUCUUGAAUAACACCAUAAAAACCCAUAUUGGAGACAAUAGAGUUUUUAUCCUUAGCACUAGCAACUUGCAUAGUAUGUGCAAGUAAAUAAACUCCACUAUUUUGGACAGUUCGCAUAUCAUCUUGUGCCUUGGUGUUAAAUUUAACACCAUUAAUAAGAUAGCUCCUAUAUGAUGGCAUUGCCAUGCUUGGACUAGCUGCUAGCCACCUCAAAUUUUAUGAUACGCCAUUAUGCUCUUCCCCAUUAAGUUCACUUUGAACUUGCAAAUUAAUCGUAUAUAUCCUAAUUCGAUCUAACAUAUAAAAAGGAAGAAAAUUAAAAGUUGAAUAUGUCAUUCAAUAACAUAUAUACUUGAAAGUGUAGCCAUUGAAUGAAAGUGCUAUUGUGCUUAUCUUGCAGCCACUUUGUUCUCUUUCUAAAUAUUGGAUAAGUGGUCUUGAUGUGGAUCAUAUGUUCCAUACAUUGACACGAAAAAAUCAAGCAUUACGGUCCCUUGUAUAUAAGAUAACAUAAGGAAUAAUAAUAUUUAAAAUGGCUCUAUAUGAAAAAUGGAACUCAUGCGUACUCGAUAUAAGGUAGGACUUCCUCAGUAUUCUCCAAGACAUAUAGAUGUGUCUGGUUCAAAAAACCCGAUCACCUAAGCUUACUGUGCAACCAGAUAAUGGCUUUGAAACUCCCAUCUUCUAGCUUGAAGGCACUCCAACUGUACUAACAUCAGAUAAAUGCUCGGUGCAAAACUCUACAACUUCUUCAGCUAUAUACCGCUCAAUAAUGCAACAUCCGGGACGAGUACGGUUCUGAACAAACCUAUUUAGCACUUUCAUAUGUCUUUCAAAUGGAUACAUCCAUCUAAAAUAUACUGGCCCAUGUAGACGAACUUCUCUGACAAGAUGUACUACUAGAUGAACCAUGAUAUCAAAGAAUGAAGGGGGAAAGUACUUCUCAAGCAAACGCAACGUAACUACUACAUCUUCUUCCAAAUUAUCUAGCUUGGAAACAUCUACUGUCUUUGCACAUAUAGCAUUGAAGAAGAAGCACAAUCGAGUUAUUGCAUACCUUGCAGGCUUCUCCAAACAGAACGAAUUGCCACAGGGAGCAAUUGUUGCAUCAAGGCAUGAAAAUUAUGAGAUUUAAGGCCAAGAAGUCUUGAAUAUUUUUAAGAUACAAGAUUUUUUUAUAUUUGAACAAUAACCUUCAGGGACUUUCAUACCAUAGAAAGAAUUGCAAACCGCUCUCUUAUCUGCUCUUGACAAAUUCUAGGGCCUUGGAGGCAAGCGAGUACGUCUUUCUCAAUACUCGGGUUGCAAAUCAUUUUUGACCCCCAUGUUCAAUAAAUCUAACCGAACAGCAAUCUCAUCUUUAUUUUUUCUAGGGAUCUCCAGCAAUGUACCAAUGAUACUAUCGCAAACAUUCUUCUCAAUAUGCAUAACAUCUUGGACAUGCCUCAUAGGAAGGUAUUUCAAAUACUCGAGAUCAAAGAAUUUUGAUUUCUUAUUCCAACAAACUCUGUCACCAUCAUUCUCAAAAACACUUCCCCCAUUUUUCGAGCCCCAUAUGUAAUUAAUAUCUUCAACCAUGUCCUAUUCAAGUUAAUGGUUCGGGAGGCGUGCCAUAUUCAAGUUUUCCAUUGAAAGCUGCACGCUACCUCCGACAUGGAUGAUUGAUUGGUAACCAUUUUUUAUGACCAAUGUAACAAAUUUUGGGGCCAUUUUCAACCUGUGACUAGGUGUAUCAUCGCCGCAUAUUGGACAAGCUUUAUAUCCUUUAACGACACUGUAACACCCCGACUCUAAAUUAAUCCCUUAUUUAAUUAUUUAAAGAAAAUUACAAAUUUACCCUUAAGAUAGGGGUAUUUUGGUCAUUUUCUUACCCGAAGAGAGUUUGGGGCAGUGACUAGUAUUUUUGGAUAGGUCGUACUGAGACGAGUUCAUAGACACGUAGUGGGCUCGAAUCGAAGUUGUAACGAGAGAGAUAUGGUCAAAAGAAACCCAAUUGCACAAUCAUAAUUAUUUCGAAAUGAGAUUUUUAUAAAAAUCAGAUUUUUUUUUCUCUCUCUCUCUCUCUCCUCGUCGGUCUCUCUCCCUCUCCUCGAAACUCCGGCCAUCGGCCACGGCUGUGGACGGGGCCGGUACCAAAAUGACCGAGGCGUUGUCCUCCUCUAAUCCCAGCUAGGUCCCGCCGUCAGCCGCCAUGGUUUCGCCGGAAAAUGGAGAAGAAGCGGCCGGCGUCGUCCGAAGUUCUCCGCCGUUGAUCUCCCUCUUCCGGUCACCGAUUCCGACGAGUGAGGUAUGGUUUCUCACCUACUUUUCAUGCUCUAGCUGCCUGCUGGGUAUGAUUGGAUUGAUUUUUAGCGUAGGCAAUUCGAUUUUCGCAUUGAAAUUCGGCUAAUUUUGGAAUCACGAUUCCGGCUAGUUCUGGUCAGUUUUUGGGGUAGAUCCAAGAACAAAAGUGGCUCCAAAUAGGGUGUUAUACCUAGGGUAGGAGUUUGGAGCCAUGGUUUUGAGAUUUUCCGGCGAUACGUAAUCGCUUUAGACACCCAACGCUGCCCGCACGUGUGGCAGUGCGUGGGCGAGGGUAGUGAAAUAGCACUAUGUCUCGAUGAGAUCCUUAGGUUGUCACGAGUGCGUAGGAUUUCGCGGAUCUCAAUUCGGACGUCGUUUGACUAUCGAACGGAUUUUCGUAUAUUGCGCGUCAUCCGGGUUCGAUAGGUUGGGACCGUUGGAUGGUCUCGAAUAAAAUAUAUGUUAAUCUAGGUAUUUCUAGGAUCAUGUAGGAAUUCACGGAUUAUAAAUCGGAGCCCCGGAUAUUCCGAAUAAAUAAUUUAAAGUUUAUGUUUUAUAAUAACCGUCACAUCGUGCGAUCGUGAGCGAUCCGACCGGCCGAUCUGGACCAAACUUACAGAACGAGUGUCCUAUACCUUGAAGAACCCAUAGGAAUUUUCAGAUCGAAAUUUGGAGGUCGUGGGCCCCGUGGGCCCAUUUGACUAGGGGUAGGGUAGUUUGACCCUUAGUUGACCGUGAGUCUCCCGGAGUAAUCUCACCUUUCCAGGGGGAUUAUCGGGUGCUAGACUGUUGUUGAGGUUUACACGAUAUUAGUAGUAAAUUAUAUAUUUAUAUACAUUUGUAAAGGUAAAAAAUAAGUCCAGAAUGUCAGUUUGAAGUGCUUUACGCACUACCUUAGGUACCUCCCCGGAUUUUAGUUACACUACAAGUACCACCCUAUGAAAGUUAGGUCCCACGUGGCGUAGGUUAUCCGGCGUGCGGACAGGCCCUAUACGUGGCAUUGGUAGUAUCGGUGUAUGGGGAGAUUACGUGAUAAUAUGUUGAGGUCACACGUGGCGUAGGUUAUCCGGCGUGUUGACAGACCCCAUACGUGGCGUUGGUUGUACCGGCGUAUGAGGAGAUAUUGUGAUAUGAUAUUCAGGUCUCGCGUGGCGUAGGUUAUCCAGCGUUGAGACAGACCCCAUACGUGGCGUUGGUUCUACCGGCGUAUAAGGAGUUUAUGUGAUAUUAUGUUGAAGUCGCGCGUGGCGUAGGUUAUCCGGUGUGUCGACAGACCCCAUACGUGGUGUUGGUUGUACCGGCGUAUGGGGAGAUAUGUGAUAUGAUGUGCAGGUCUCGCGUGGCGUAGGUUAUCCGGCGUUGAGACAGACCCCAUAUGUGGCGUUAGUUGUACCGGCGUAUGGGAAGAUAUUGUGAUAUGAUAUUCAGGUCUCGGGUGGCGUAGGUUAUCCGGCGUGUUGACAGGCCCCAUACGUGGCGUUGGUAGUACCGGUAUAUGGGGAGAUUAUGUGAAAUACAGAGAAAUGAAAUAAGGUAUUGCCUAUGUGUGGAAUUGGGUUUUAAGGAAGAACUACGUGUGGCUUGAUCCCUCAGGGAGGGUACGUAGGCAGCCUAAGGUUAUUAGGUGUAGCCGCGGACAUAGACGUGAUUGUGUUAGGAGGUUAAAACCUCGUAUGUUGAAAUUGAGAAAAUUAGAUGAUGUAUGUUGAAAUUUAGUAGUCGUAAUUUAUAUUUAAAUUUAUCGUUUGCCUUGUUUAAGGCAUGAAUUGAUUUGCUAGCAUGCUUGGUAGUUGAGAAUUAUAGAAAGGCCGAAGGCCGUUUAUGUGAAUUGCAUGGAAUUAUAUUGUGCAUGCUGCCAGUUGUAGUUAUUAAAUGUGUUUUUAUGCAGGUUGAAAUUUUGGGAAAUGUCCAAUUUACAGGGGAGACUCUGCCGAAAUUUCGGCAGAAAGUCUCGGUCUUUAGUAAGUGGGCCUGACAUCGAGGUGAUGUCGGGGAAUCCACAGGAUCCGCCUCGAUUUUUGGAAAAAUCGGGGCGGUUCCUUUCAGACACAACCAGAUAAGUUCUCAUAGGCAGAAAAAUCAUUAAUUGUUCACAGUAAUACACCUAUGAGUGUAAAGUAAUCUCCUAUGUGUGCAUCAUACACUCCUUUAAUCCCAUCCCACAAAGAUUUUAAAUCAUCAAUCAGAGGCUCUAAGUAGACAUCUAUAUCAUUUCCAUUCUAUUUAGGACCAGAAAUCAAUAAGGUCAAUAUCAUGAACUUCCAUUUCAUGCAUAGCCAUGGUGGGAGAUUAUAUGUAACUAAGAUAACCAACAAUUGUAUCUGCUACUUAAAGAACUGUGGGGAUUGAAUCCAUCAGAUGAGAGAGCCAAUCUCAAGUUUCUUGGCUCUUUACUGAACUCGGGCCAUUUAUCAUCAACAAGUUUUUAAGACGGGAAAUUCGCUGGAUGAGACAUAUGACCGUCAAUUGCUUUUCUAGCAACAUGCCAAGUCAAACUCUUAGCUGUCAUAUGUGAUUGAAACAUCCUUUUAAACCUUGGAAUUGGAGGAAAAUACCACACCACCUUCGCUGGCACACUCUUUUUCAAGAUUGAAUCUUUGCAUUCCUUCCACCUUGAGAUACCACAAGUAGGACAAUUAGUUGAAUCUUCAUAAUCAUUCCUAUACAAGAUGCAGUCAUUGGGACAUGCAUGGAUAUUCUCAUAACUCAUCCCUAAAGGAGAUAAUGUCUUUUUUGCCUCGUACAUAGAGGAAUAUAGUGUCUUUCCUUCUGGAAGCAAAUCUCCUUGAAGUAUCAAUAAUUCUAUAAAACAAACAUCACUCAUCCCAUGUUUUGCUUUCAAAUUAUAUAACUUCACCAAAGCCGACAACAUCGUGUACUUACUGCAACCAGGGUACAAGGAUUGAUCUCAAUCCCCAAUCACAUUGGCAAACUCAUAAGGAUCAAAUCCAAUAUCGCCUAAAUCAUUAUCAUCCAUCCCUACUUCUUUAGAAACAAAACUGAACCUACUUUGCUCAUCUUCUUCCACAUUUCUACUAGCAUUAGUAGUCAAUUCCCAAGGUUCUCCGUGCCAUGUGCAAAUCUGAUAGCUUUAGUCAAUUCCAUUAAAGUAUAAGUGGUCCCUCAUAAUUCCAACCCCAAACAAUCGAAUAUUCCCACAUUUAACACAUGGACAACGAAUAUGAGUUGUAUUUCCAAGAUUUUCUACAGCAAAAUUCAAAAAUCCUUCCACCCCUAACUCAUAUGCCUUCGGUCUUCUAUCCGCAUGCAUCCAUGACUUAUCCAUCUCACACACUAUAAAAUCAUAUAUAUAAUAAAGUGAAAAGACCAGCAAUGAAACACUACUUUAUUCACAUAGCAAAGAAUGAAUUGAAAAAAAAAAUUAACCAAGAAUCAGACGACGGUUUUUACAAAAAAAAUCGUCCUGUAACAGAGGGUCAGACGACGGCAUAUCUAGUUAUCGACGUCUUUAAGCUACCCAAACCCAGAUAUUUGUAUUGCUUUUUGAAGAACCGGGUUCUGGGUUCUGGUAAACAAAAGAUGACGGUAAAUGGAGAAACACCGACGUAUCCUAAAACUUGAGACGACGGUUUAUUUCACCAACCGUCGUCGUAGUUUACGAAAAACAGAAGUCUAAAUCUCCCAUCCUCAUUCCUUUUCUAAGAACCCUUAACAAAAUGCAAACAUCAAAAUAUAAAAGAGCCAUAUAUAGCUCCCAAUUAAGAAACCAAAGCUACCAAAACAUAUAUUAAUAAACCAAAGCUACCAAAAUGAACGAAAACAUUUAUGGGUUUUACAAACUAAGAGAAUAUUGAGAGAGAGCUGAGAGAAUAUACUUACAUGGAUAUUGAGAGAGAGCUGAGAGAAUAUAACAAAUGCUUGAGAGAGAGCUUAGAGAAUAUACACAAUGCUUUGAGAGAGAGCGAAAAAUUUAAGACAAAUUUAUGUUGAAGAGAGAGAAGGAAAUAUUUUAGGGUUAAAGGGAAAUUCUGAAAAUUUUAGAUCACCGUCAAAAUUUUCAAAGGACCGCGUUUUUCAAAGACGGCUAAGGAAAACUACCGCCAUUGUAAAUCAUUUUACUACGACGGUUGAGGAAAACUACCGCCAUUGUAAAUCAUUUUUAUGUCGCCUCUAUAAAAACCGACGUCUAAAAUAUUAAAUAAUUAGAUUUGGUUUGCAUUUCGUGGGAUUCUAACGUGCGUAAUUGACCAAAAAGAGCGAGAGAAAACCAGCGUCGUUUCUAUAAAACCUAAACCCUAAACCCUAAACCCUAAACUCUAAAACCUAAACACUGAAAAAAUUAACCAAAAAUUGCUAUGGACUCCUUACAACAAUGCCUUCUAUAUUAGUAGGCUAAAAUCGGGAUUAAAUAAUUUUGAAUUUUAUGACCACCAAUGGAUCACAUAAACCUUAGGGUUAUGUUUAUGGAAAGUAUAAGGAUUAUUGUGUUUUGUCUCUAAAUCUUUUUUACUUUUGUUAUCACUUGUAACUUUGAAAUCUAAAAUUAAAAUUUUCAGGCCUUUAGGGGGGAGAUAUUGUCUCAAUGUGUUUAUAGAAUUUGAGACUGCGAAGGUUCUAGCUGAUUGACUAAGGAUGAGGCAGGAUGGAUGGAAGGUUUGCUUGGAGAUUCUACCUUUGUCAGCUCUUCUGGUUGACAUGUUGUUUAUUCUGCCUGAGGAACUACUUCUAGAUUUUUCCCUUUUCUAGCAGAACUAGUCUCUGGAAGUACUUGUGUGUCAUCCUUAUUCUUGAGGAAGACGCAGUAUUGCCUUUGAACUCUCCUCUUUUGCAUUCUGGUUAGCUUCAGAGUUGGUCUUCGGCUUUUUCCAAUAGAAUAUCAUCUACCUUCUAUGAUAGUUGCAAAGGGCUUGUCAUUUCCAGGCAUCUUAACUGGUAUUUCCUUCUUUGGCUGCUCUAUUAUUCUCUUGUUGCGUUGGGCAGGCCUUAAAUAGUCCUUCUGUCUGGCUCUAUCUCUAGGUGGAGCCGGAACUAGGCCUUGUUGGUAUGAUGUUCCAAUCCUGUCAAAAACACAAGGUGUGGGCUGACUUUGCCUAACCAGAGUUACCUCUAACUCACUUUCACAUUUGCACCUGUUGCACAAAACUACCCCAGCCGAAAUGGUUGCUUUUGGUCUUCAAUUAGCCUAUCUUUGGACUCUUCUGCCUAUGCUGGGGCUAACUUUUGCUGUUAGUUUGCCUUUCUUUUGUUUUGGCCAAUUUAAGUUGACCAUGUUGACUUGAGGUUGGGGAAAAGGGUCUGUUGUUAUCGAAUGAGGUUUCUCAGCCAGUUUUAGCCUCCAUGCUGUUAUUCCUUCCUGUAUGACGUCCCUGAAAACAACACAACUAUUGGUGGAAUGGUCCCAGGAGUUAUGCCAUCUGCAAUACUGUCUGCCCUUGAGUUCCUCUAGCUUGGGCAACUUGUAGGGUGUUUCUAUUGCCUUCUGUCGCAGCAUGUCAUCAAACAGGGCAUCAACCUUGGUUAAAUCGAGGGAAUAGACUUUGUUAUGAGCUGGUUUGUUUGGAACAAACCCUCUUGUGAAUGGUGGUGGCUUUUGGUCCUUUGGUGGCUUUGUUAAAGCCUUGCAACUGAUGAGAUGUUUUAAUUUCCCCAUUUCUGCCACUGCAACUUCUCUCUCCUCCGAGCUUUCUAUGCCUUCUUCUGAUUCUACCUCAACAAGAUUUACUGAAGAGGAUGGGGUUUUGUAAUAUGUGCCUUUGAAAGAGUUCCUCUUCUAUUGUUCUUCCCUGAGCAGCUCCUUGUAUUUAGAUGCUUUGUCUGCUAGUUCUGCCAGAUCUCCAAACAGCAUCCCAUCAAAUUUUUUUCUCAGAGAGAUUUUAAGGGAGAUUUGAGCCAUUUGGAUGAAGUGCCCUUCCUCCAUAGGGAUUCAAAAUUUCAUUUUGAGCUUUUUGAACCUGGUUAUGAAGUCUUGGGCAGGCUCAUCUUCCCUCUAUUUCCAGGUUUGAGGGCAGCAAGAUCACUGAUGGUGACUUCUGGCUGAAUCCUAAAAUAGUAGUCAUGGAAGACAUUUUCCAUCUAUUUCCAGGUUUGAACAGAAUUGGCUGGUAAGCUAGUAUAUUAGAUGAAGGCUUGUCCAGAGAGAGAAUUUCGAAAAAGCCUUAGUUUUAACAGAAGGUUAUUUUCUAUGGCUAUGCACUGGAAAGAGAAUCUGCCUAUAUGCUUAACUGAUGAAGCAUGGGUGUCUUCUCCGUUGAACAAGGUGAAGUGUGGUACCUUAAAGCCCAGGGAUAGAGGUAUUUGAUCGAUAUAAGCUGGAUAAGGCUUUCUGUAGGUGGGCCUUUCUCCUCUUCUGGCCUCAGGUUCCAUCAUCUCUCUGAUCAUUCUAUAAAGUGCCCCCAUGUCAUUCAAAGCAUUGACAUGAUGCGGGGUUCGCCCCUGUUCUGGCUAGUUGUGUUCAAUCCUUUGUUCUACUUUAUAUGGCCUGGGCAGAACUUCCUCCCUAUGCUCUUCCUCUUUUUCGAAAUCUGGAUGAUUCCUUUAGUUUGCCCCCGGUCUGUUUUUGUCAUUGUUGGCAAAGGGUUUAACUCCUACUCUACCUCUCAUGCCACUUGCUAGUGGAGGGAAUGGAUUGGGGUCCAUCCUUCUAGGUCUGUAGGGCAACACAACUGGUUGCUCAGGCAGAAGUGCCAAGGCCUGAUCACGUGGGGCCACUAGUUGUGGAAUAGGUGGAGGUUCUGGCUAGUUCUGAGGGGGUCUGAACUGGUGCAGAGCCUUCUGGAUGAACUGAAUCCUCAUGUUCUUGGAUGGGAAGGGCUCCUCCCCUCUGUCCAGCUUGGAUUUCUCCAUGUCCUGGUAUUCCAGCUAUCUGUGUGAUGAGAGGCUUCUCUUCAUAUGGCCAUGCCAGUCCUGGUAGAGGUCCAAAAGGGAGAUCUAGCUGCUGGACCACCAUGUCUAGGUUUGGAAUUUUGGCAAUAGUAGCCUCACGGUCCUUCCUGAACUGCCUGUUGACUUGCCAUUACAUCAUGGUUGUCAUGUUGUUUAGAGUAUCUUGGCUCAUUUGUGCUGUGGCUUCUUGCCGAAACACAGCCUCCUGUAUCUAGUUUAACCUUCUGGAACCAGACAUGGAACGUCUACUCGUGGUACUGCCAUGGGCUGAUUACCUAGCAUCACUUUCUUUUGACUCAAGUCCUUUUCGGAGAGCUGCUUGAUCUCUUUUCAUGGCAUAGCGUGGAUUCUGGCUAGAACUUCCAAUAUUCAUAUACUAGAGGAUUUUUCUAGAAAUAUAUGUAUUGAGAAGUCCCACUGGGCGUGCCAAAUUGUUCAUCCGUUUUAGAUUUGUUCCUGUGAUGGUAGGGUAAAGUUCCUCAUUGACUUGAAAACCAUUGGUGGUCAAUAAGUCAACUUUCUUUUGUGUACAAAUGUGCCACUGCUAGCAAUAAAAACCCUAGCAGACUUCUUAAAAAUAGAAAACUUGUGCCCAAGUUAUUAACUUCUAAAUAAGCGAUUGUGAAUUUGGGCGAGGAAUAUCUCCCAAGUAAGUUCUUUUCUUUGCCUCAGAUUGGUGAGGACUUCACAAUUUUUCACAGUACAAAACUGGUAGUUCUAGCUAGAAUAAAUGAUAAGAAAGUGAACUGUUUUCAGGCAGAACUACCUUUUACAAAGCUUAAAAAGGAAGACCAACUCUAAAAAGACAAAAAGAGCUUUUGGACUUCAAUUUCUGCUUGGAUAAAUGCUUCUGAUCCGGGCUGGACUGGGUAUGUUUGUGCUGGACUGGACUAUCAACACCUUCAACUGUCAAGUUUUAGCUGUCAAUGAAUACCAAUGUUCGAGUGUGGCAAAGCUUCAAUCUAUUUCAAGCCGUGCAAGGCUUUUUGAACGGACAGAAUUGGAACCUCUUCAGUCUGGAAGGGGUAGAAGUGGCUGAAUUUGGUGAUUACUGAGCUGGAACUGCACUGUAGUACCUGUUCUGCUUGAUCAGGGCUCUCCAUAAAUUUGUUGAGGUUUUAAUAUUGGUAAAACCCGAAGCUUAUGUUGAACCAACUUUGUAACGAGAGAAAUCUUGCUUUGAAUGACUAUUUCUCUGAAACUAAACAGAAGUUAGAGAUUCUGGAAUAUAGCUGACUUGUUUCUUAUGGCUCAAUGAGCUUUUGGUUGCUUCAGUGUUUUGAAGGCUUUUGAGAUCAAGUGAUCAUUUUGAGUUUUUAUUUUUGAUUGAUUUUUUGGCUGUCCUUUUAUCUGUUCACCUCAUCUCAUAUUUAUAGAAUAUACUGGAGUGUGAUUUCUAAUCUUUUAAUAAUGGGCGGCAAAUCUUUUAAAAGAUCUUUUUUUCUUUUUUCAAUGUCAUAAGAGAAGGAAGCUACUAUUCUGACAGAGAAAGGUUGUCAACAAUCAUCUUUCAAUUUUUCUAUGUUCACUUUUUGUUCUUUGUAAAGAGAAAGAACACAAUCUACCAUGAUGGUCAGUGUGCUUUUCCUGUUGAACAACUCCCUCGUUCUCUACUUAUCUCUUGAAAACGUAGUCUGCUUAUCUCUUGGAAAGACCACCUGAUUUGGUGCAGAGCUUCUCUAUAUAUAUAUAUAUAUAAAGGGAUUUUGAUCUUCUUCUUUUGGCUGAAAAAAUAGAGAAGUCUUUCUGUAAGACCUGCCUUCAUUAAUUUUCUAUCAACUUCUCUGUAAUAGUUGAAAAUUUUGACUUUUCAAAGCCAGGUAUUCACGUGGGGUUGUUUAGAAAAGAUCUGUUGAUUUUGUCAAUCUUUUAGGGUAGAGAUUAAAUAGCGUAAAAAGGCUGGGCUAGUCUCUUUUUCUUAGUAGAUAAAAAGCCCAAAUAUUUUGUCUCACUGCCCUUUUCUGGAAAAUAAAUGGGCUGGGUGUGUUGGAAAUUGGCCCAAUCUUAAGAAAGACUCUGGUGGCUGCCCAAAAUUGACAUAGGCUUUUCUUGAUUUUGGGCUGGGCAUGCCAAAUUAGGCCCAAACAAUGCCCCUUAAGUCUGAAUUGUUUUUGGAAUAGUUUCAGACUUAAUGAUUUGGCCAUUAAUUUGUGCGCGCCAUUUCCUUCUGUUAGCCCACAUCUGCCACGUCUGCCUAUUAUGAUCAAGACUUCGUGGGAAAGUGGGCAGUUACUAGCUAGUUAUUAUCAGGUGGCGUCUUGUCUUCUUCUUCCCACGAUUUCGAGUCUUUCUAAGAAAUUUAAAAAGACCUCAGCUCCUGUUUACUCAAAACCUAACUUCUUCAGACCUUGAUUUUCCUCAGUUUUCUCAGAAUUUUUACCCUUUUCUGCGAUCAAACCCUGCUUCCUUUCAGUUUGAUUCCCCUAUCCUAGCUCAAAACCCGAAAAUGUCUUCUCCAAAAAAUCGUGCCCAGACUUCUUCUUAUUCUGUUCCUCCUACCUACAUUACUGGGGCCGGUGUUGAUAAGCAUGUGAUUGAAGUCCGGAGCAAGCUUCAUCCUUUUGCCCAGAACGUUCUGGACAAGAACGUGUUACAUUUGUUCGAGAACACUCUUGUUUUGGAGCCUCAUCGGUUUGGUUCUGUCCCGACUGAAAUGGCAGAAUUGUUUAAAGAAUAUACUGAAGCUCCUCUAUGCUUUCAGAGCUCUUUCGUAGAUUUCAGUUUUAUAUAUAAACUAUCGUGUUUCUCCCUAUAACAUGUCGUUUUUAAGAAUUGUUGUCAAUGUUUUAUUUCCUGCUACUAUAAGACGGCGAUUAUUUAUACAUAUGAGACGUGUAAAUUAGAAUGAGACGUCAGUCUUUGGGAUUUAAAUUAAGUUUUUACGAUUUAAUGUCAUUUUAGUUCAUAUAAGGACAUAAAUGUCCUAACCAAAAAUAUAUUUAUGUACAUUGUCAAUAAAUUAAAAUAAACCUAAACAUUGUUAAAAUAAAUUAGAUCACUUAUUAUUCUGUAAUUACUUGUUAACGAAUUCAGCCCAUUCCAACCUGACUUCGUCAAUAUGUUCUUAUACAUACUGAACUGGUUCCUUUUUCUUAUCAAACUGCAAAUAAAUAACAAAAACCAACGUGUUAUAAAGAUUACAACGACUGCUUUUAAAGAAAAAGUUGUGGUACUAAAAUAAAGAAUUUAUAUCUUAAGUUUUGCCUUUUACCUUCUUCUCAAAUGCUAGGCCUGGAUCAUGAAUUAUAUCUCUCAUGAAAUGCAUCACGUAAUAGCCACACUCUACAUUUGUUGGUUGUCGAGGAGUGCCAUGUAGAUUUUUCCAUAUGACUGAUUUACAUGAUGAUUAAUUGCCUGUGUGAGAGUUAUACAUUUUGAUUGAACUGUUUCAAGAAAAUGAAAAGUGUUAAUGAUAAAAAUAAAAAUCUAAAGCAAAAAUAUUAAACGUCGUGGUAAAUAAGUGAAGACGAUGGUUUUGUUAAAAAAGUGAUGUUGUAUUUCAUUUCAAACGUUGGUAAAUAAAAACCGUCGUUGUGUAGAAUUCUAACGUCGGUGACGAUGAAAAAUGACGUAUAACCAAAAAUUGUUUGUAAAUGAAAGUUGAACAGAAAAAAAUAAAACUUCCUUAAAUGAAAAACACAAACGACGUGGUAUUUCAAUUAAAAUGACGGUUUACAGAAAAUACUGACGUUGUAAAUGAUUUCAAACAUCGGUUUGAAGUUACCAUCGUGUUUUCAUUGUAACGUCGGUAUUAGAAAAAGCCGUAUAUCAUUCAAAUGCAAAUAAAAAAAUGUUAGAUUUUCAUAGAUAAACUUACAUAUUCACUAUAUUUCUCAUGUCCUCGUCAACAACGCGGUUUGGCAAUGAAUCCAUGUAAUAGAUAGUCUCCUUCGCUGGUCUCACAAUUAUUAACACCCAAUGACCCCUACACAUAAUGAUCCAUAUAGGUUAAAUAUACUAGAAAGAAAAAUAGGCAUCAAGUAUAGUUAAGGGGACUAACCUUGGAUUACAAGGCACCAUGUAAAAUUGAUCCCCAUUUGCGUUUUUCAGGCGGUCUGAGAGAUGUUUCAAACGGUAAGAUAACGUUCCAGAUUGAGAGCUGACUUGUCCAAGGUCCACGAAGCCAAUAAGGUUUACCAUAUUUUCUAUUUUUAAAUAGUCAAAUAGGCACCUAAAUAUAUGAAAUUCAAUUAAAUGAGAUUUUAACUUUAAAGAAAGGAAAUGUAUAAUGCAAUCACUGUGGAUCCAAUCUCAACCAUGGAAGGAAAUUGUAAAAUAUCUUCACACAAGAGGAAGGUAUCAUGGUUAAUGCCAAAGGCUUCCUCUGGAAUGUGAAUUCUAAUGGUCUCGUUAAUGGGCUUCAACUUGGUCUCGACAAAUUGAAAUAAGGCUAACAGAGGAGGUGGCAUGUCUAGCUUUGAGAGAUCCUGUUACAACAAAUAAAUAAAGAAAUAUAAGUUAGUUUGUACACUAAGUAAAAUAAACGACUCUAACUAAACCAAUCAAACCGACGUGGUAUAUAAUAUAAUCGACAGUUUCUAGAACAUACUGAAGGAGUAAAGGUUAUAGACGACGGUAAAGACAUAACCAUCGUUAUGUAAAUGUUCUAACGUCGCUGCAUUAUGGAAAGGUCGUCUAAUUAAAAUGCAGUGAAGCCUUUAUUGAAAUACACGACAGUUUAUAAAAUAAACACCGACGUAGUAAAAUACUGAGACGACGGUUAUCAGCAACGUCUAUUUGAAAUUAUAAAUCAGAAAAAAUCAAAUAUCAAAGAUUUUACCGUUUCAUCUUGCCAUUGUUUAGCAACAUCAGCAUCAUUCGUGGGAUUUUCUUCCUCCAAAACAAGGGGUCUCACAUUAGAGCAGCUUGCUUUGUCAGACAUUAGAUUUUUUGGAGUAAUUGGAGUUUUAUUGAGCAAGUUGGGAUCACAGUUGGGAAUUAGUUGACUGAAUUGUUUCAAUAAAAUUUCCCUCUCUGCUCUGACUGCCUCCAAAACAGUUUCUUUUGCCUUAGCUUUAAUCUUUUUGGUUUCUUCUCUCACUGCCUCCAUAACACUUUCCUUCAAUUUGUUAGCAAAUUUUACUCUCUGCUGUCUCGACAAAUUGAAGAAUUGAGUUGGGGAAACCCCAGCUCCAACACCUCUAACUCUCCCACCAUGCUCAGGGGUUCCCAAAGCCAAGGUCAAAAUAUCGUUGCUCUCAGAGACAGCAGAGUGCCCUCGGAAACUUGUUUUUUCAAAUCAUCCUAAAAGUGAGAGAGAGAGAGAGAGAAUGUUAGUGAGUGAACAGAUAGUAAAACAGAUUAAAUAAACAACUAUACAAAAAUAUUAACCGACGUGGUAAAGACUUUAAAAAACUGAAAUCAAUCCCCAAUAGUAACAGGGACCAUGCAGCAACGAUUUGGUUGACAGUAGUAUAGGUUGGAGAUGCUGUUGAUCAUUAGAUACUAUUUUUUUAAAUAUCAAUUCUGUAACAUCCAGACCUAAAAAAUUAAUGAUUUUGAUUUAAAAUUAAAUUUAAAUAAGCAAUUACGAAUUUACCCUUGGGGAAGGGGUAUUUUGGUAUUUUUUUUUUAUUCAGAAAGAGUUUGGGGCAGUGACUAGUAUUUUUGGGUAGAUCGUACUGAGACGAAUCCGUAGACACGCGGUAGGCCUGAAUCGGAGUUGUAACGAAGAAACGGUGACCAAAAUUAGUCCAGUGGCAAACUUGUAAAUAUUUUGAACUUGGGUGUAGAAAAAUCUGAAACUGGCUUCCUCUCUCCUGCGUGCACACGUCCUUCUCUCUCUCUCCUCUCUCUCUCCUCGAUACCAUCACUCUCUGUCUCUCUCUUCGAUUCUCUCAAUUCUGGCCACGGCAAGGGCCGGGACUGGUUCCGAUCAACUCCUCACAAAGCCCCGAACCAGAACCACCACUUUUCUUGGCCGGAAAGCUCGAGUUUCGCGUGGUAAUCUCGACUGGUUUGAACCAGUUUUCCUCCGUCAUUGUGCCGCCGCCAUCGCAGCCCAAUCUCGGUUAAACAAGUGAGGUUUCUUACUCUUUUUCCGAGCUCUAGCUGCCUGUUGGGUAGGAUUGGAUUGAUUUUUUGUCUAGGAUCCCGAUUUUGAAACCUAAGUUUUGACGAAUUUCAAAGUGAAAUUCCGGCCGGUUGCCGUCCUAAUUAGACCUCCCCGUAGUUGAAUAAAGUGAUCCUCGCUUCGAGUAGUAGCUAAGGUAGGAAUGGUGAAUUGCGGUGUGGAGUUUUUCCAUCACUGAAAAUUACUCUACACAUCCACGCGUUGCCAGGGCAUGUGGAGGCGCAUGGGCAAUGUGGUGAGACCACAUUUUAUCCUGAUGUAGUCUCCUAGUCCUCACGUGCGCGUAAGUGUGCUCGAAUUUCAAUUCGAAUGUUGUUUGACUAUCGAACGGAUUUAUGCAUAUUGUUUCUUAUCCGGGUUCAAUAUGUUCGGACCAUUGGAUCGAGUCCAAAUUUACGUAUGUUAAUCUAGGCACCCCUAGGAUCAUGUGCGAAUUCGCGGAUCGUGAAUCGGAGCCCCGAAUGUUCCGAUUCAAUAAUUUGAAGUUUAUGGUUUGCGAUAACCGUCAAUUUCUGACCAAACCUACAGGACGUGUUUCCUAAACCCGUAGUCGGACCUUAGAAUACUCGUUAUGCGUGCACGCACCGGGAACUUGAGAAAAUUAGUAUUUAAUUUGUAAAUUCCGUUUUGAAGUGAUUUUUUAUUAAUUAAGGGUGCGUAUCUCGAAAUAGGUGCUCCAUCACUAGCACGCAGCAGGUAGGACCCUCUUGAGGUCAGGCAGUGUGGGACUACUUGUGAGUGGACAUUUAUUUUAUAUAUGCAUUAUUUUCAAUGAUUGAAAGAAUAUGCAUGAAAUAUAUAUAUUUUUUGGAAUAAAGAUUGAGAAAUUCAUAUGUUGUUAUAUCAGUAUUAUUUAAUUUAGAAUUUGGUUUGAUUUGAUGAUGAGUUAUAUAAAGGUCAAGUUAUUCGUGAUUAAGUCUUGGAUGAAUUUUGGGGGAAUCGGGAAUUGAAUAUUAUGGUUUAUGGUGGGAACUUAUAUGAUUACACUGUGUGGAGUACCAUCCCCUAGUUACUAGGCUUCCCACAUGUGGCGUUGGAAAUUUUCCAGCGUGUGAUGAUGUAGUCUGCACGCAUAGGACUUAGUAUUGGAGCUACACGUGGCGUUGGAAUUUCCGGCAUGUAAGCUAUGGAGUUUCGUCCCCCGGUUGGACCGCUCAUCCCUAGACGCAGGAUAGCAACUGAAAAUCUUGCGGGUUAGCCAAACAAUCCCCCGGUUGGAUUGUUUCCCCGGUACCUAAGUAGUGUGAUAAAUAUUAUGUAUAUUUAUAGAUAUAUAUAUUUCUAUGUGUGUGUGUGUGUGUGUGUGUGUGUGUGUGUGAGUAUAAAUCAGUUAAAGUAUAUGUAGUGGUUGGGUAAGAGCAGUAUAAAUUUUGGGGAUAAAGUUUAUGGAUAGAGUGAUUGAUCUCAAAGGGUUUCGGAGAAUGAUGUUUUUGAUCAUUAAAUAAAAGUUAUGAAUCUGCAUGUCUUGAGCAUUAUUUUUAGACGGUGGGGUUAUUAUGUUGUUUUGAAUGCAAAUUUUGUUUUUCCACUCACAUGUUUUCUGUUUUGCGCCCCCCAAACAGUAGUCGCUCAAGGGAGAGUUGCAAGCCAUGUUCGAGGCCCCGAACUGUGAACAUCAGUAGAUUAGGUUUCGAGUAAUUUCUUUCUACUCAACUGGAUGUUCUUGUAAACUAAAUUCGUUAGAUGCUCUAUUAUUGCCCCUGUUAGGUUUUACUUGUGAGGCCAGAGGCCAUUUAGUUUAUACUGUUGAAUAAUAAAUGCAUGCUGCUGGUUGGGAUUAUAUUGUGCUUAUGCAGGUUGAAAUUUUUGGGAUUGUUCAAUUUACAUGGGAGACUCUAGCAAAAUUUUAGUAGAGAGUCUCGGUUUUUAAUAAGUGGGCCAGGCAUCGGGGUAAUGUCGGAAAUAAGACUGGAUUCGUCCCGGUUUCCGAAGAAUUCGAGGCGGGUCCUGUCAAGUUCCUCCUAUUAACAAUAAUAAAUUAAAUAUUUAUAUAACUGAUAACAGUUCCUCAUAUUAACAAUAAUAAAUUAGUAUUUUGUAUAAUAAACAUGUUUAAUGAAAUUCAUCUUCUUCUAGCAUGUUUAUUUAAAUUCUAAGUUUUCUGAAGAAAAAAAAAAAAAAAAAGGAGAAGGAAAUGUCCUAAAUUAAAUCUUAAAAGUUCAUUUUUUUCUGUCCCUAUAUAUUUUUUACCCAAUUAUAAUUUGAGAAAAAAAGGUGAAUUAACUGUCAUUUCACCUUCAUCAUUUUCAUGAUUUAUAUAAGAUUCUUCAAAGAUCAUUUCCACAAAAAAUUACUUAAAUUCGAAUCCAUUUAACCGUCUAAUUAAAUCGUUAGGACCGUUGAAAUAAAAUUUAAAGUGAGUUUAAAGUGAGUCCUACUAUGUCUCCCUCAAAUAAGAUCAUUUACAGGAUCUGUCGAGUCAUAUGAGAAUGUUUAGCUUUUCGAUCCCAAGAGUUUGGUUCGAUUUUCAUAUAUAUAUAUAUAUAUAUAUAUAUAUAUACAAGUCAAUUUACUUUAAAAAGUUCACCAAAUUUUAUUUUUGGUCUCGGUAGUUUGCUUGAGGGCCUUUUUCUGUCAAUCUAUUUGUUGUGAUUGAAAGAUUUUAUAUAAAACAAAAGAUAUGUUUUUAUCUUAAAAAAUGCUUAUUUUCAGAUCUUUACAUAUAGACAUACAUAUGGCCUGAGAAUUCAAGCAAUAAAGACAUAAGCUGAUGAGCAUUCAUAAUCAUUAGAAUGAGUACUGAAUGGUCAACUCUUUCAAAAUACUUCGGAAAAAAACAAAGGACAAUACUUCCUUCCUUACUCAUAAGAAGGAACUCCUUCUCACCUUCUAUUGUCCCUCAACCACAAAGUAACAAGUGUUCUCUUUUUUUAAUUGUCAAUUUUUUUUUUUUCACUUUUACUGAACCCCUAGCUUUUUACCAAAGCAAAAAACACAAAACAAUAUUCCCAUUGUUUUUUUUUUUCAUUUUGAUUUUUUUCUCAACUUUUUGAAAAAUAACAUUUUUCCUUCUUCAGUAAAAAAUUGAAGUCUUUGUGGUUAAAAGCUAAGGUUUCAGUAAAGGUUUAAAAUAAAUAAAAAGUUUUGACAAUUCAAAAAACAGAACACAUAUCACUUUGUGGUUGAGCCGCAAUAGAAAGUAAGAAAGAAUUCCACCUUACCCAUAAGGAGGGAAGUAUUGUCAAAAAGAAAACAUCUUAAAAAACACACAGAAAACCCACCAUCACUACUUAAAAGAAGUAGAGAAGUCCAACAUUCUGAUUUUUAUACACCUACGUGACGUGAGCAUUCAAUAAUCAUCCUACACAUAUGUUGAUGUGAGCAUUCAAAAUCAUUAGAAUGAUUUAAUUGAAGACUCAACGUACGGACGUCUUUUUCACUUAGAUUCCCUUCCUGUACAAACUUGAAUCAGUUCCUCCACGACCCCAUCAAUCUCUUCAUCCUCUUUCUUGUUCACGUUGUCGCUUAUUUUCAAUGCCUUUUUUCUCACUCCCUCUCCAAAUUUCUCCACAACCACAUCUCUAAUCACCUUUGCGACCUCUUCUCUUUGCAAACUUCCUUCACCUGUUCUCUUAACCUCCACACCAACACCCACCUCCUCCACUAGUCUAGCGUUGAUCGGCUGGUCAAGAUGCAUAGGCAUGGCUAUAAUUGGAACACCAAACUUGAUGCUCUCCAACACUGAGUUCCAUCCGCAGUGACUCACAAACCCCCCAACACUAGAAUGCUGCAGUAUCUUUGCCUGUGGGGCCCAACCCUCCAUUAUCACUCCCUUCUCUCCCACCCUCUGUAAAAACCCUUCUGGUAACACCUCUUCAACCCUAGUACUUCUCUCCUCCUUAGAAAAUCUUAUAACCCAAAUGAAGCUCACUUUGCUAAGCUCUAAUCCGUGAGCUAUCUCUUCUAUUUGCUCCUUGGACAGAAAGUACUCACUGCCAAAGCAAACAUACACAACAGAAGACCUUUCCAUUUUGUUCAGCCAUUUCAUGAUCCAUGUUUCCUCAUCAACUUUUUGAUCCAUUGGCUCUUGAACAAGCGUGCCAACAGGCACGAUCUUCUUCCCCGUUAAAUCAGAGAGAUAAUCAAUAUAUUUUUCUUCAAUCUCGCUGGAUGUCUUGACCAAAAUGAUGUUACAAGAUCGAGCACUGCAUUGCUGAACACGGUCUCCGUCUUUGAUGCCAUUUGCUGAAGAUUCCAACAAAUUGUUGAACUUUUCAGCUUCGUAAUGUUGAAGAUAAAUCGAAGGAAAAGGAAACUUGACACUAGGGUUCUUGAGAUGUUGAAUACUAAAUGAAGUAAAGGCAGCACCCAUGGUGGUGAAUUCAAUGGAUGGAAAAUUUUGCAAUGAAGCUAGAGAGGGCGCCCAUGGUUGAAGAACAUCAUAUAUGAGCAAAUCUGGACUUAGGGUUUUGAGGAUGUUGGAGAAGUUGUUGCUGGACAUGCUGAAAGCCGUUUUGAGAGUGGACAUGAGAUGGGGAGGGAGGCCAUUGGUGGUGUGGUAGUGCGGUGGGAGUUCAGGCAAGUCAUCAUGUGGAAGAUGGAGUUCCACAAAUUCAAUGCAAUGAGAAUAUUUUUGGGAGAGUUUAGGCUUGAUGGAGCUGAGAUUUACAGGCGUGGAACAAAUAAAGAUGUGAAAAUUUCUCUUGGUGGUCAGCUUCUUGGCUAGCUCUAGGUAGGGAGAUAUAUGGCCGUGAGCUAGCCAUGGAAGCAAAAGAAUAGUAAGGCUUCUUUGGUCAGAGAAAACCAUAUUUUGUUUUCCUUUGACUUGUUUUCCUUUGACUCUUUUGCUUGAGGUUGCUCGAUUAUAGGCUUAUUGGUAGUUUGUUUGUGGCUAGCUCUAUGCAUAUAUAUAUAUAUAUAUAUAUAUAUAUAUAUAUAUAUAUACACACACAAAAACGCGUGAUGAUUGGAACAUGCACACGUAAGUUCCAGAGAGUGAUGAUUGGCCUAUGAUAAAGACUCGAAACAAGAAUAGUUUAAAUUUUCUUCUUUGUUUGGCUUGAUAUAAGACGAAUGCACCAAACAAACCGACUAAAUGCCGACACAAUAAUUAGGUACGUAAUAAUAUCAACUUUCAUUAUAUAGAUCUGAGAAACAAAAAGUUGAACUUUGAUGACAAGCGAUAUUAAGGAAGGGCACAAUCGAACUUAGGAUCUCGAAUGUUGAAGUACAUGCUCUUAACAACUUGAGCUAUAAGGUAUUUGUAAUGACAAUUUAUGGUUUUAAUUAUACUUUUGAAUAGUUGCUUCCUUCUCUUUCAUUUUUAUUUUUAUUUGUUUAUAUUUAACUCUAAUUUUAUUUAUAUUUCUGGUCAAGGUAUAAAGACUUUGAAUCUCUCUCCAAUUAUUUUUCACAGCCGAAACUCCUUUAGUUUCCACAAAUCUUUUUAAACAUUUCAGGCAUAUGUAUGUUUCCGAGUCGGAUGGUUCACGUAACCAAGAAAUUUAAACUUGUUUUUGUUUGUUCCUCCGAAGAAAGCACAACAAAAGGACAACCUACAACCAAUACUUCUCAUUGAAUUUGUUGCCGUGAAUGAUUAGGACUCUGCCCAAACUAGUAGUUGCGUUUCUGAAUUGUUUGAAAACACAUAUCAAAUUAUGAUUUCUCCUCCCCGAAAGAAAAAUUGACGUAGAAGUAUCAUGAUCUUGAUGACACAAAUUAGAAUCUAGGGUUUUCGAAGUGCCUAAUGGACAACUACUUAUUUAGAAAUAUAUAUAUUUUUGUGGCUAAAAUUUAAAUUUAUUAUAUAUAUUCUCAAUGCAGAAACACAUAAAUCUAAGUUCGAAUUCAUCCUUUUUUUGUUUUUUUUUUUUUGUUUUUUUAACCCAGAAGAAAAAUUGAGUCCCACUCUGCUGUGUAGAAUGCGCGUUUAGUAUAGAUUUUUUUAUUUUUGAGUCUCUUAUCUGGUUCCCGAGCUUCUACAUUUAGGUCUCGUGUAUUUAUCUGCAUUUUCUUAAAUCUAAAUCACUCAAACAAUCUAACCACUUAACAAAUGACACGUACUCAAACUUAAAAUCAGAAUGGAUGGAGUAGAGGCUUACACCGAUGAUUCUUGGUCAAGACUUGAGAGACAGAUGGAGACGAGGCAUGACAUAAAGUCUGAAGAAGAGAAACGAGGAAGCUUCAUUUAGAUGGUGGUGUAAGUGCAUACGUAAAGUCCAGAUUCAACAGGAAAGCAUCUUAAACGUAAAGAAAAUAAGUUUACCAGAAGCAAAAGAGAUACUGAAGUAAUUGUUUAUCAACUGAACUUAAACGAAAUAUUAACUCUUUGUUGUGCCAUAAGCACAAGAUCUUAUGAAAAAAAAUUCAAGAUAAACCAUAUAAUAUUGGGAGAUUCACGUUUAUACCGAAUAUAGGAAUUCAAAUUAUAAAAUAAAUAAAUAAAUAAAAUAAUCGAUAUGAAAUGGACUUUAGAAACACACACAAAGCCUAUUUACAACAUAACAAAAAGGUUUUUCCCUUCUUUUAAAUUACAAAACUGCCAUUGAUUUCUUAAAACAAACCCAACUCCAAAACCUCAUUAAAAAAGCACAAAACACUCAAUAGGGUGUCAAAGUAAUUUAAUAAUAAAAAAUAAAUUCAAUAAGGCCAAUUGAAUUUUUUGGAUUUUUUUUUGGGUUUGUUUAUAGAAAUUAAUGGUGUAGGGUUUAUCUAUAUUAUUGGUGUUAAGAAUGAAUAAUGACUAAAUAUCUCUAUAAUAUUUUCUAACUCACAAAAUAAUAUAGAAAAUAAAUGCAAGAACAAGAAAAUAGCAAUAUGCAAUUUAACGAAGCUGCUUACAAUCAGUGCAAAUGAGCAAACAAAUUCGCUAUUAAUUUAUGAAGUGUUUUUGUAUUUACAAUACCGCCUCUUGAAUGUCCACCAUACAAUAAUAUAGUUGCAUCAUUAAAAACUUUACUUGAAAAAUCGUUUGGGACAAAACUUAAGCUAAGAGAAAAAGAGUGCAACACAAAUGAUAUUGACAUCACAUAUGUCUCUCCUACAGAGUGAGCUUUGGUGAUGCUUGUAUAAAAAUUGCUUUCACAUCAUUAUUGGGAGAUGUAUGUAUGUCAUCAAUCAUUUGAAUCUUGUUGAGGUUAAAGUAAAACCAAAAAAAUAUCAAGGGCCAUUUUCAUAUAGUUUUUCACAAUAAAAAUUAACAAAAUAACUUCAUGUUCUUUAAUAUCAUCAAAAAAAUAAUAUAAACAAACUCAUAGUUUACCUUUUCAAUGAUAAGUGUUUGGAAAAUUUACAUGGAAUAAUAUUUGGUAUGCUAUGCUAGCAUCUCAUAAGCUCUUCAAGAGACCUAAAUUUUAUGAUAACUUCUUAAAAAAAUUUGAAUACUUUUCAACAAUAUUAAACUUGAAUUCAAACUCAUAAUUCAAUCAAAGUACUCAUUGAGGCAAUUUAGAUCAUUUUCAUUUUAAGAAAAUUGGGUGCAUACAUUGAGCUUCAUGCCCUUUACCUUCUUAGAGAUUUUCUUCGAGCAAUUUAUAUUGCAUGACAGAUUAUAUCUCUUAGAAUUUGUUCUUAUGUAUUCUUCAAGAGAUCUCUUCUUGCAAUAUGCUUCAAACACUUCAUAAUCUUUAUAGAUUUUUCAUGUAGAUUUAAGGUCUCCAUGAAUAUUGAGAUUGAAACAAGGAGUAAAAUAAAAGUUUAAGAAAAAUUUUCCCUGAUUAUUUUGUAAUUAUAAUGUUGGUGAAAACCUAAUUUCCUUUCUGAAAUUUGUGAAAUUUGUUAUUUGGCUAAGCUAAAAGUAUAAUAUUGACAAUAAAACGUAUACGAAAGUUUCUCUUUGGCUGGCUUCUUGGCUGGCUCUAGGAAGGGACAUUGCGGCCAUGAGAUAACCAUAGGAAGCAUAAUAAGAAUGCUUGGAUGCUCUGAACAAUCCAUUUUCUGACUCUUUUUCUUGAGGCGGUUGUUUUCUUAGGCCCAUCAGAGUUUAUGGUCGACAGAUAAGCUUCAAACACAUGCAUUGGUCGUGUCAGUUGCGAUAAACUCUUCCCAACAAUCUGAGACUCACAUCACUCCAAACACAUAAAAAGAAGUGGAAAUUUGCUAUUCUUUGUCUUUGUUUGGACAGCUAAUAGCAAAGCAUUGGAAACAUCGAAAAAAGAAAGUUAAUUAAUUUAAGAAAAACAAAGAAAUCCUUCUUUUUUUUUCUUUUUUUUUUCAGCAAACCGAAACAUAAAAUCCGAAAAAGAAGAAGGCAUGUCCAAAAUUACAUCUUGAAUUUAUUUUGGAGAUUCACUAUUAUACUCAAAUUAUAUAUGAAAUAAAUUUUAGAAACACACAUGACGCCAAUUUACAAUAUAACAAAAAAACUUUUAACUUCUUGUAAAUUACAAAAUUGUUAUCGAUUUCUUAAAACAAGCCUAAUCCUAAAACCUCAUAAAAAAAAAAUCAAAACACUCAAUAAGGCAUCAAAGUAAUUUAAUAAUUAAAAUUAAAUUUAAUAGGGUCAUCUGUCAUUUUUUGGAUUUUUUUCGAAGUUGUUUAUAAAAAUUAAAAUAAUGUAUAGUUUGUUUAUAAAAAUUAAAUGAUGUAGAGUUUCUUUAUAUAAUUAAUGUUAAUAAUGAGUAUAUGAAUAAAUGUCACUUUUCUUUAUUAACCAUUUAUAAUAUAUGAACUCAAGACUUCCUAUCGAACACCGAAUGGUCUUUCCAUUCCUUGUUAAUUCAAAGUCUGAAAAUGUUCGGUGUCAGCUCAUGAAUUUAAAGGCUUAAAGGCUCAAAACUUGAACGAAUAUGAAAGAAAAAAGUCGUUCACCGUUCAUCCUCUUCCUGCAGCUGUGCAUGCUAAUCACCCACUGAAUUAAACAUACAAAUACGCUUUAUGUUUUCUCAAAUUGUUCUUUGAACUAAGUAGAGGUUGGAAUACACUCGGGGUCAACAUUGUUCAAAUACAAAACACUUCUUAAUUUUAUAUUUUAUCAAAACAGAUCGAAACUUCAUUCAAACUGAGAACCUAGAUUACAAAACUACCAGAAAAACUGGAAUCUGCACUGUGGCCUCAUUAAAACCUUGCUUUAAAAAACUCCUAAAAGAGGAGAAUUCAGUCAAGAAAAAAGAGUACCACAGCAAGUGAAAUCCGAUAUCAUACUUCAUUCCUUUCUCAUACAAAGUUGAAUCAACUGCUCUACCACCCCAUCUAUCUCUUCAUCCUCUCUCUUUUUCAUGUUGUCUCUCAAUUCCAUUGCCUUUCUUUUCAAACCCUGUCCAUUUUCUUCCACCACCACAUCUCUGAUUACUUUUGCUAUCUCGUCCCUUUUCAGCCUCCCGUUCUCGUUGCCGCCUCCUCCCAUUCUCUUAACCUCCACACCAACUCCAACGUCCUCUACUAUUCUAGCGUUAAUAGGCUGGUCAAGAUGCAUAGGCAUGGCUACAAUUGGAACGCCAAACUUGAUGCUCUCCAACACUGAGCUCCAUCCACAGUGGCUCACAAACCCACCAGCACUAGAAUGCUUCAAUACUUUUGCCUGUGGAGCCCAACCAUCCACUAUUAUUCCCUUCUCCCCCACCCUCUCAAAAAACCCUUCUGGUAAUACCUCUUCAACCCUAGUACCUUUCUCUUCCUUAGGAAAUCUUAUAACCCAAAUAAAACUCACUUUGCUAAUCUCUAGCCCAUGAGCUAUCUCUUCUAUUUCCUCCUUGGAUAAAAAGUACUCACUGCCGAAGGAAACAUACACCACCGAAGAUCUUUCUCUAGUGUUUAGCCACUUCAUGAUUUUUGUUUCCUCCGAAUCCACUUCUUGCUCUAUAAGGUCUUGAACAAGUGAACCAACAGGCACAAUCUUCUUCCCAAUUAGAUCAGAGAGAUAAUCAAUAUAUUUUGCUUCAAUCUCUCUAGAACUCUUAACUAAUACGAUCUUACAAGAACGAUCGCUGCACUGCUUAGCACGGUCUCCAUCACUGAUGCCAUUUGAUGAAGAUUCUAACAACAUCUUGAUCUUACUAGUCUCGUAAUAGAUUGAAGGAAACGGAAAUUUGACACCAGGUUUCUCGCCAUGGUGGGUACAAACUGACAUCAUGGCAGCACUGGUUGUGAAGAACUCGAUGGCUGGAAUGUUUUGUAACAAAGCUAGAGAGGGUGCCCAUGGUUGAAGAAAAUCAUAAAUUAGCAAAUCCGGGUGUAGGGUUUUGAGGAUGUUGGAGAAGUUAGGGCUUGCCCUGUCGAAGGCGGUUUUGAGAGUGGACAUGAGGUGGGGUGGGAGGCCAUUGGUAGUGUGGUAAUGAGGUGGGAGUUCAGGCAAGUCGUCAUAUGGAAGAUGUAGUUGCACGAGUUCAAUGCAACGAGAGUAUUUUUCAGAGAGUUGUGGCUUGAUGGAUCUGAGAUUUACAGGUGUGGAACAAAAAUAGAUGUGAAAAUUUCUGUUGGUCAGCUUCUUUGCUAGCUCUAGGUAGGGAGAUAUGUGUCCAUGAGCUAACCAUGGAAACAUAAGAACACUGAAUUUUCUUUGCUGAGAAGAAUCCAUUUUUUCAGACUCUCUCCAUUCAGGUCGUUUGUUUUAUAGAUCUAAUAAGUGAGAUGAAAAGAUGACAAAAUAUAUACAGAUGAGUCAUGUGAAUCUAGGUUUUUUCUUCGUAGUCAGAAGAGUCGUGCGUAAGUGCAUGCGUGUAUACAAGACAAAAGACAUACGUUAGACUUCUUUAUCUUCGUUCGUGCUGAUAUAUAUUAAGAAACAGACCCUUGCAACUCUAAUAUCCUAGACAAAAAUUCAAUUUUAAAAACUGAUGCUAUGUCCUGUGUUUUCCUAAACAAUCCCUAUUUUCUGUAGUCUUUCAAUUAUUCUAAAUUUGCUCAACAUUCAAUAUAACAUCAAUUUCUUAUAAAUCCCUGAACUUUCUCUAGCAUUCAAAAUUUUAAAACAUUCUCAAAGUAAUUCGGCUUCAAAGGAAUGGUAAACUUAGUAAUGGCUUCUUUUCCCCUUUCACGAUGCAGUGGCUGAGAGUUCUGAGAACGGAAGUUGUAGUUGGGUGACUUUGAUUCUUUUUAGCUGAUGCCUACUGCUUGAAUGAAAUGGAGCAAAGAGGUCAUCAGUACUUACACUGCUACUAGGAGGGUAAGCUUGAUUAUGUGUAUACUAUAACUUUAGAGUUUUGGUAUUUGGAAUGAUGAUAAUUUCAAUGUUACAUUUAUUUUGUUUACUACACUAUGUUUCUUUGUUGAACUCAAAUGUCAUGCUGAUAAAAAGAAAUAUAUUGUUGUAUGAAAUUGAAUCAAUAAGGAAAUUGACUGAGAUUUAAAAAUAAAAUUACACAGACACAGCAUGCAAUAUUAAUGCAAUAUUAAAUCUGUGUUAAAUAAUGUAGGACAGAUAGAUUAGCUGAUCGAGGAGCAGCUGGAUAAGCCCGUGCAUGUCGUUGUGCCAGAAAAGCCCAAUUCGUGCAAGUAUGGGCCCUGAACUCUUAAUUAGGCUAUGAUCUGUCAUUUUGAAGAGAACGGCGUGACAAGUGCAACUCACUGCUGUAUUGUGACAUACGGACUAUUUUAGUCAAAUUCUAUCAUUUACAUUGCAUUUUCAGCAUUUAAAGUUUUUUAAAAAAUUUGGAAACUUUUGUUAUUUUCCUUUUUUGUUUUCUAAUUAGCUUUCUUAGCAAGUCUAGGGGUUCUCUUGUAUAAAAGGAAUGCAUUGGAGCAUCCUAAACUAUUCAGUUUAUUAUCAAUCAAAUACUUUUGAGUUAUACUAAAUUUCGGAUGGAUCCGGCAUGUUACUUGCAGGGUUAUCAUUCGAUCUCCUUAUUCCCUAUAUCUCGCUACGUCAGCUGUCAUGGCCAACUGGGGAAGUCGUGUAAUGGAUAUCACUUAUGGUGUGCACCAUGUGUAGUAAAUAGUUGUCCAAAACCUUUCCCGCAGCUCUAGUGCAAGGGUGUAUUGUGUGCACGUUUGAGGCGUGCAUAUAGGUUCCGUAAAUUUCAUGAGCUUUUUAUGGCUAGUUCUUUCGGGAAGUGCAUAGGGAGUGAUCAACUUCUUGGUCACUAACCUGUUUGAUAUUCUUAGUAAUGGGGUGUUAGUUGGAUUGACUUAGACUUUUAGUUUGCUCUCAAGUGGUCCCGAGUUGAAGCCCCCACGGUAUCCGUGUGUGUGAAUUUUCCCCUUCCCUUUCCUAAUUUAACAACAACAACAAAAAAUACUUAUUUGAUAUCCUGGUUUAUUUAUUUAUUCUUUUUUAAAAAAAAAUUUAAAACUUUUUUUAUUAAAAGGGGUAAUAUCAUACUAAACUCACACACACUACAUAGAUGAUAGGACUUGAAUUCACCAUAAUCGUUUUUUAGGAGCAAUUACUUAUGGUAAACAAUUACUUCAAACCACUACACUAGUAGUCAUUAGCGGCGUUUUAUAUUCUUGCACAAGCUAUGUGGUCACUAAUAUUUUGUGUAUUAAGGGCUUGUGGUGUUUCAAUGUUGAUAAAAAUGCCAAAUCAGAAUUCAAUACAAGAGUACAACCACCUAAAGGAUAGCAAUGAACAGAUACUAUUUUAUCCACACAAAAAAAAGUUUAUCUGAUAUGAGCAUUAUUCAAAAUCAUUAGAAAAUGAGUACUGAAUGCUAAAAAGACGCUAAAACGUAGAGUCAAAGCCAACAUUCACAUGAUCGGCCAUCAGAUACGCUUAGCAUUCAAAAUCAUUAAAAUUAUUAUUGAAGUCUCAACUCCUUUUCACUUAAAAGUAGAUAUUUGUUUCCCUUCUCCUACAAAUUGCAUCAAUUCCUCCACGACCCCAUCUAUCUCUCCAUCUUUGUUUUUCAUGUUGUCUCUUAAUUCCAAUGCCUUUUUUCUCAUGCCCUCUCCAAUUUUCUCCACAACCACCUUUCUGAUCACCUUCGCCAUCUCUUCUCUUUGCAAAAUUCCUUCUCCUGUUCUUUUAACCUCCACACCAACACCCACCUCCUCUACUAAUCUAGCGUUAAUUGGCUGGUCAAGAUGCAUAGGCAUGGCUAUAAUUGGAACACCAAACUUGAUGCUCUCCAACACUGAGCUCCAUCCACAGUGACUCACAAACCCACCAAC